CUCCGUGGCAAAACUCCAAAACUUUAUUGAACUUGGCCGAGGUUUUCUCCUCCUCCUCCUCCUCCUCUUCUCCUCCUCUUCUCCUCCUUUUUCUGCUUCUCUCCUUCGUGGCAAAACUCCAAAACUUUAUUGAACUUGGCCGAGGUUUCUUCUUCCUCCUCCUCCUCCUCUUCUCCUCUUUCUUCUGCUCCUCUCCUUCGUGGCAAAAUUCCAAAAUUUUAUUGAGCUUGGCCGAGGUUUUCUCCUCCUCCUCCUCCUCCUCCUCCUCCUCUUCUCCUCUUUCUGCUCCUCUCCUUCGUGGCAAAAAUCCAAAAUUUUAUUGAGCUUGGCCGAGGUUUUCUCCUCCUCCUCCUCCUCUUCUCCUCCUUUUUCUCCUCCUCUCCUCCGUGGCAAAAUUCCAAAAUUUUAUUGAACUUGGCCGAGGUUUCUUCUUCCUCCUCCUCCUCCUCUUCUCCUCUUUCUGCUCCUCUCCUUCGUGGCAAAAUUCCAAAAUUUUAUUGAACCUGGCCGAGGUUUUUUCCUCCUCCUCCUCCUCCUCUUCUCCUCCUUUUUCUGCUCCUCUCCUUCGUGGCAAAAUUCCAAAAUUUUAUUGAACCUGGCCGAGGUUUCUUCUUCCUCCUCCUCCUCUUCUCCUCUUUCUGCUCCUCUCCUUCGUGGCAAAACUCCAAAACUUUAUUGAACUUGGCCGAGGUUUUUUCCUCCUCCUCCUCCUCUUCUCCUCCUCCUCCUCCUCUUCUCCUUUUUCUGCUCCUCUCCUUCGUGGCAAAAUUCCAAAAUUUUAUUGAGCUUGGCCGAGGUUUUCUCCUCCUCCUCCUCCUCCUCCUCCUCCUCCUCUUCUCCUCCUCCUCCUCCUCCUCUUCUCCUCUUUCUGCUCCUCUCCUCCGUGGCAAAAUUCCAAAAUUUUAUUGAGCUUGGCCGAGGUUUUCUCCUCCUCUUCUCCUCCUCCUCCUCCUCCUCCUCUUCUCCUCCUCCUCCUCCUCUUCUCCUCUUUCUGCUCCUCUCCUUCGUGGCAAAAUUCCAAAAUUUUAUUGAGCUUGGCCGAGGUUUUUUCCUCCUCCUCCUCCUCCUCUUCUCCUCCUUUUUCUGCUCCUCUCCUUCGUGGCAAAAUUCCAAAACUUUAUUGAACUUGGCCGAGGUUUUCUCCUCCUCUUCCUCCUCCUCCUCCUCCUCCUCCUCCUCCUCCUCCUCCUCCGUGCCAAAGUUAUUUCCCAGGAAUUUUCAUCGCCACUUCCAGAAUCUCAAUAAAAAGGAAUUUAAAAUCAUCGGGAUCUCCUCCUCCUCCUCCUGCUCCUCCUCCUCUUUCUACUCCUCCGUGGCAAAAUUCCAAAAUUUUAUUGAACUUGGCCGAGGUUUUUUCCUCCUCCUCCUCCUCUUCUCCUCCUUUUCCUGCUCCUCUCCCCCGUGCCAAAGUUAUUUCCCGGGAAUUUUCAUCGCCACUUCCAGAAUCUCAAUAAAAAGGAAUUUAAAAUCAUCGGGAUCUCCUCGUUUUUCUCCUCCGUGGCAAAAUUCCAAAAUUUUCUCGAACUUGCUCAGCGCCCGGAUCGCGUUUCCAGCGCGUCCCUCCUCCACC
Lonchura striata (white-rumped munia) is the source of this 1570-nucleotide long non-coding RNA. The record is from Ensembl. NCBI's taxonomy places the organism in Eukaryota, Metazoa, Chordata, Aves, Passeriformes, Estrildidae.